AGAGUUUGAUCAUGGCUCAGAAUCAACGCUGGCGGCGUGCCUAACACAUGCAAGUCGAGCGAGAAAAGGAACUUCGGUUCCUGAGUAAAGCGGCGGACGGGUGAGUAACACGUGGGUAAUCUGCCCUCGGGUGGGGAAUAACUCAGGGAAACCUGGGCUAAUUCCGCAUGACACUUUCGAUACAUAAGUAUUGAGAAUCAAAGCUGGGGACCCUUCGGGGCCUGGCGCCUGAGGAGGAGCCCGCGGCCAAUUAGCUUGAUGGUGAGGUAACGGCUCACCAUGGCUUCGAUUGGUAGCCGGCCUGAGAGGGCGGACGGUCACACUGGGACUGAGACACGGCCCAGACUCCUACGGGAGGCAGCAGUGGGGAAUUUUUGUCAAUGGGGGAAACCCUGAACAAGCAACGCCGCGUGAAGGACGAAGACCUUCGGGUUGUAAACUUCUGUCGGAGGGGACGAAAGCUUUCGUGGUUAAUACCCAUGAUUGUUGACGGUACCCUAUGAGGAAGCCCCGGCUAACUCCGUGCCAGCAGCCGCGGUAAUACGGGGGGGGCAAGCGUUGUUCGGAAUUACUGGGCGUAAAGGGCGCGCAGGCGGGCGGGAAAGUCUCUCGUGAAAGCCCACGGCUCAACCGUGGAAUUGCGGGAGAUACUACUCGUCUUGAGUCCGGGAGAGGAGUGUGGAAUUCCCAGUGUAGCGGUGAAAUGCGUAGAUAUUGGGAGGAACACCGGUGGCGAAGGCGGCACUCUGGACCGGUACUGACGCUGAGGCGCGAAAGCUAGGGGAGCAAACGGGAUUAGAUACCCCGGUAGUCCUAGCUGUAAACGCUGAGCACUUGGUGUAGCGGGUAUCGACCCCUGCUGUGCCGAAGCUAACGCAUUAAGUGCUCCGCCUGGGGAGUACGGUCGCAAGGCUGAAACUCAAGGGAAUUGACG
This 934-nucleotide ribosomal RNA is filed under the name uncultured bacterium. RNAcentral's name for it is "bacterial SSU rRNA". It matches the Rfam family "Bacterial small subunit ribosomal RNA", at positions 8 to 915 of the family's 1533-position model. The record is from RNAcentral.